This 229-nucleotide ribosomal RNA is filed under the name uncultured bacterium. RNAcentral describes it as "partial 16S ribosomal RNA". It matches the Rfam family "Bacterial small subunit ribosomal RNA", at positions 118 to 347 of the family's 1533-position model. The record is from RNAcentral.
UGAGGAACAUGACCUUCGGCGGGGGAUAGCCGGCCCAACGGCCGGGUAAUACCGCGUACGACCACAUGGGGACAUCCCCGAGUGGUGAAAGCAGCAAUGCGCCGAUGGAGUGCCUCGCGGCCUAUCAGCUAGUUGGUGAGGUAACGGCUCACCAAGGCGACGACGGGUAGCUGGUCUGAGAGGAUGGCCAGCCACAUUGGGACUGAGGCACGGCCCAGACUCCUAGGAG